This 497-nucleotide ribosomal RNA is filed under the name uncultured bacterium. Its description in RNAcentral is "partial 16S ribosomal RNA". It matches the Rfam family "Bacterial small subunit ribosomal RNA", at positions 28 to 507 of the family's 1533-position model. The record is from RNAcentral.
GAUGAACGCUGGCGGCGUGCCUAAUACAUGCAAGUCGAGCGAACAGACGAGGAGCUUGCUCCUCUGACGUUAGCGGCUGACGGGUGAGUAACACGUGGAUAACCUACCUAUAAGACUGGGAUAACUUCGGGAAACCGGAGCUAAUACCGGAUAAUAUAUUGAACGGCAUGGUUCAAUAGUGAAAGACGGUUUUGCUGUCACUUAUAGAUGGAUCCGCGCCGCAUUAGCUAGUUGGUAAGGUAACGGCUUACCAAGGCAACGAUGCGUAGCCGACCUGAGAGGGUGAUCGGCCACACUGGAACUGAGACACGGUCCAGACUCCUACGGGAGGCAGCAGUAGGGAAUAUUCCGCAAUGGGCGAAAGCCUGACGGAGCAACGCCGCGUGAGUGAUGAAGGUCUUCGGAUCGUAAAACUCUGUUAUUAGGGAAGAACAACUGUGUAAGUAACUAUGCACGUCUUGACGGUACCUAAUCAGAAAGCAACGGCUAACUACGUG